AGGGAAUGAUAGCAGACAUAAAGGUUAACUGUCAACCACUAAUGUCAAACUUGAAUGCUUCGGACCCAUAGCAUAUUGACCUAUUGGAAUUGCCUUGCCAAUGCUAAAUGAACAUAAUGUUGGUAGAUUGUUCAUUACUUUUUCAUUUAUUCAUUCCUUUAAGAAAUAUUUUACUGCCCCCUCUAAUCGGAGGAAGUGAAUCUUGAAGGAGCCAUGUAAAGAAUACACCACUGGUGCUUGGUAUAGGAACUCAUAGAUGUGAAAGAAGAAAAGGUAGGAAAAGAAAAGUUAAAAGAAUUCUAGAUGACAGACCAAAUUUCUGCAAUGUCAAUUUAGUAAUUAGGCAAUUAAUGAUAUGCAACUUUUCUGUUUUUGUUUUUUUUUUU
Molecule: unclassified non-coding RNA, 386 nt
Filed under: Hevea brasiliensis (rubber tree)
Lineage: Eukaryota; Viridiplantae; Streptophyta; Magnoliopsida; Malpighiales; Euphorbiaceae
Source: RNAcentral